GACGAACGCUGGCGGCGUGCUUAACACAUGCAAGUCGAACGGAAAGGCCCCUUUGGGGGUACUCGAGUGGCGAACGGGUGAGUAACACGUGAGUAACCUGCCCUUGACUUCGGGAUAACUUCAGGAAACUGGGGCUAAUACCGGAUAGGAAUCCUUGCUGCAUGGUGGGGGUUGGAAAGCUUCGGCGGUUUUGGAUGGACUCGCGGCUUAUCAGCUUGUUGGUGGGGUAGUGGCUUACCAAGGCUUUGACGGGUAGCCGGCCUGAGAGGGCGACCGGCCACAUUGGGACUGAGAUACGGCCCAGACUCCUACGGGAGGCAGCAGUGGGGAAUAUUGCACAAUGGGCGGAAGCCUGAUGCAGCAACGCCGCGUGCGGGAUGACGGCCUUCGGGUUGUAAACCGCUUUCAGCAGGGGCGAAGCUUGUGGUGACGGUACCUGCAGAAGAAGCACCGGCGAACUAC
This 462-nucleotide ribosomal RNA is filed under the name uncultured bacterium. RNAcentral's name for it is "partial 16S ribosomal RNA". It matches the Rfam family "Bacterial small subunit ribosomal RNA", at positions 28 to 504 of the family's 1533-position model. The record is from RNAcentral.